UACGUAGGGUGCAAGCGUUGUCCGGAAUUAUUGGGCGUAAAGCGCGCGUAGGCGGUUACUUAAGUCGGAUGUGAAAGCCCUCGGCUUAACUGGGGAACUGCAUCUGAUACUGGAUGGCUUGAGUUCGGGAGAGGGAUGCGGAAUUCCAGGUGUAGCGGUGAAAUGCGUAGAUAUCUGGAGGAACACCGGUGGCGAAGGCGGCAUCCUGGACCGACACUGACGCUGAGGAGCGAAAGCCAGGGGAGCAAACGGG
This 253-nucleotide ribosomal RNA is filed under the name uncultured bacterium. RNAcentral's name for it is "partial 16S ribosomal RNA". It matches the Rfam family "Bacterial small subunit ribosomal RNA", at positions 524 to 776 of the family's 1533-position model. The record is from RNAcentral.